Long non-coding RNA from Suricata suricatta (meerkat), 235 nucleotides. RefSeq lists it as uncharacterized. NCBI's taxonomy places the organism in Eukaryota, Metazoa, Chordata, Mammalia, Carnivora, Herpestidae. The record is from RefSeq and is a predicted model, not a curated record. The transcript has 2 exons.
GACGCGUAACCGACUGAGCCACCCAGGCGUCCCAAAUGCUGCAGAGCUCUUCAAAGAUGACAUCUCCUGUACAGCCUGCAUCUCUCCUGCAUCAGCUCAUCCCUCAGUGUGUCCUACAACGAUGUCUGUGUUUCUCCAACCAGAGCUUUCUGCUGAGUACACGCAUCAGCAAAUUUUAAGUGUAGUUUUCAUUUUUGAUAUUGUACUAUUUUGAAUAAAUAUUUUCAAAGCUUUA